Molecule: small RNA, 16 nt
Filed under: Arabidopsis thaliana (thale cress)
Lineage: Eukaryota; Viridiplantae; Streptophyta; Magnoliopsida; Brassicales; Brassicaceae
Description: ATSL123030
Source: RNAcentral
AUUCACACAAAAAACU